AGCUCCAAUAGCGUAUAUUAAAGUUGUUGCAGUUAAAAAGCUCGUAGUUGAACCUUGGACCUGGCCGGCCGGUCUGCCUCACCGCAUGCACUGGUUUGGCCGGGUCUUUCCUUCUGGCAAGCCGCAUGCCCUUCACUGGGUGUGUUGGGGAACCAGGACUUUUACUUUGAAAAAAUUAGAGUGUUCAAAGCAGGCAUUAGCUCGAAUACAUUAGCAUGGAAUAAUAGAAUAGGACGUGUGGUUCUAUUU
This 249-nucleotide ribosomal RNA is filed under the name uncultured Pezizomycetes. RNAcentral describes it as "partial small subunit ribosomal RNA". It matches the Rfam family "Eukaryotic small subunit ribosomal RNA", at positions 587 to 842 of the family's 1831-position model. Lineage: Eukaryota; Fungi; Ascomycota; Pezizomycetes. The record is from RNAcentral.